This 507-nucleotide unclassified non-coding RNA is filed under the name Hevea brasiliensis (rubber tree). Lineage: Eukaryota; Viridiplantae; Streptophyta; Magnoliopsida; Malpighiales; Euphorbiaceae. The record is from RNAcentral.
CUUUUAGGAGAGGAAAUGAAUCCUUUAAAUAUACUCAUUCAAAUUCUAAAUAUUUUUAUACAUUCUUAAUUCUUCUCUCAAUUUCCUUAUCCUAUCAACCUCUCAGUCUCUUCACCUCCACCUCCUCUGGAUGCAUCGAUUCACCAUAUCCCUCCAUUACCCUCUCACUCACUCUCUCUCAUCUCAUGGUCACUCUUUACUUUCCAUCUUCCCUCAAAAUCCUAGAUUAAUCCUCCCCAUAUCACACUCCAGCCGGCCCCAUUCCCCCUACACCUGCGCCGGAUUCCAACUCUCUCUUCCCACCCCCUGCUCUGCCUCUCCCGCCUCCCAAAACGGCGUUCUUCAAAGGCGGAAAUUGCGCAGUCUUGGACUCAAAAACAUCGAUGUUGCCACCCUUGGUAAUCUCUGUGUAGAUAUUGUUCUUCAUGUUCCCAAAUUGCCCCCUCGUUCGCCGGAGGCUCGCAAGGCUUUUAUGGAUCAGUUAUCCGCUUCCCCUCCUGAUAAGCA